GGCCGGGCCAGCCUCCCUCACAGGACUACCGAGGAAGAGGUAGGAUUUCACUCUGUCACCCAGGCGGGAGUGCAGUGGUGCGAUCAUAGCGGGGACUACAAGUGUGCACCACAUGCUUGUCUACGAACCUGAAGUAUUCUGAUGCAGUGGAGAGAGUGUAGAACUCUGGAGUGAAGAGAUCUGCCUGGAACCCUGACUCUAUCACUAGGAGAUUCCUUGGAAUGAAACCAAUGGGAGUCCAGGGUUUGGGAGAGUCUCAUCAGAGCAGAUGGGCGAGCAGCAGCCAGAACGCUUGUUGCCUUUGGCUGAGAACACUAUCCUGGAUCUGAAUGUCUUGUGAGCAAACCCCAGCAGGCUCAGCCUUAGGCCUGAGUGAAGUUGGCCUGCUUCUCCUUAAUGAACCUUGUGUACUCUCUCAUCUCCCUUCCCCUCUUUUGCAUGUUGAAAAUCACAUUCUCAGAGCACUCUUGAAGCUAAAACCACGUUGCCCGUUAGCAGCCCCAGUAGGAUGGCAUCUUAAUGCUUUUGGUCCCUUGAUAUAUUUGGAAGUGUACUGCAUGGAGGGUCAGGAGGCCUGGUUUUAGCUCUUACCCAACCACUAAUUUUCCCUGAGACCAUAGGCAAAUUGUUCAUCCCUGGGCCACACUUUCCUUAGCUGUAAAGUUGUUUAUAAUAAGAAUAGCUUUCAUUUAGGAAAUUUUUACUGUAUACCAGAUAUAGUAUCAUUGAAUUCCUUCAACAAUCCUAUGGCAUGGGUACUUUUUUUUAUAUGGAAUCUUGCUCUGUCACCCAGGCUGGA
Molecule: long non-coding RNA, 799 nt
Filed under: Homo sapiens (human)
Lineage: Eukaryota; Metazoa; Chordata; Mammalia; Primates; Hominidae
Description: HSALNT0276023
Source: RNAcentral